UAUCUGCCUGAUCACCAUCUAUGAGACA
Molecule: non-coding RNA, 28 nt
Filed under: Bombyx mori (domestic silkworm)
Lineage: Eukaryota; Metazoa; Arthropoda; Insecta; Lepidoptera; Bombycidae
Source: RNAcentral